GUUUGUUUUUAUUUUCUUUCCUCAGAUGGGAUCAACUGUAAAUUCACUGAUAUUUUUCUUCUGUCUACUCCAAUCUGCUUUUGCACCCUUCUAGUGAAUUUUUUAUUUCAAUGGUUAUACUUUUUAACUGCAGAAUUUCUGCAUGUUUCCUUUUUUAUAAUUUCCAUCUCUUUAUUGAUAUUUUCUUAGUGGUAAGCUACAUUGUGAUUGUUUCUUUAGCUCUUUGAGCAUAUUUUAAAUAAUUGAUUAAAAAUUUUUGUCUAAUCAUCCCAAUGUCUUAUCAAGCACCAAAUCUGCUUAUACAGCCUCUGAAAUGUUUAAGAUUCCAGAAUUAUCCUAAAUAUGAAGGGCUGAUGGUCCAGCAAGACUUGUGGAAGACUUCUUAAGCAAAACAGAUUUUUACAUAUGAGAGAGUUUAGGUACAAAACUUUAACACUUGUCUUGAGUUUCACUGAUGGAGCUGUGAAGAGAGACAUUCCCUUGUCUACAGAGGUCAGGCAUUUUAUUUUAGAAUUAUUCAAAUAAUUAUUCAAAUUAUUCAAAAAGAGUCAUAUCUCCCCAAUUUUGGCUUUCUUGAAGAUUGUCCAAUAGACACCUGUUCAACGUGAGUAAACAGCAAACUUGUCAUAGGAUUGGUAUUCUUACCUCUCCUCCAAAAAUCAGAGAAAUCGCAUAGUGAUAAUACAUUCCAGAAGCAGUGAACAUUUCAGAUCAGUUUUUAAAUACUGAUCUGUCUCCUGUUCAAACCAUGAGAAAAGCUAAUAUGAUAGCUGCUUUCCUGGGAACCUUUUCCUGGCAAUCACAAUAGGAAGAGGCCUGUGAAGAACCCCACAGAAUAGUCCUCUCCAUUGGGCCGCAGUAGUUAAAAUUUAUCACAAGAAAGUGAACAAUGAUUAAGUCUUUGGAAUCUCUUCAUCAUAUCCACAUGGAUUGCAAACAGUUUCAGCUUCAAGAACUUCUGCAAUCCCCUCUUCCUUUCCUCAGAUACAGUCUGGUUAUUGAUGCAUGAGCAAUGUUUACUUCAGUUGGCUUUUUUGGAUCUGCAGCAAACAGGAUUCUCUUUCCACCUGGUUUGUGAUUAUCAUUACUAUACCAAACUUAUCAGCAAGUUGUAGAAGCAUCUGUGGAAAUCUGACCACCUGUUUGGUGGAGAGCUCUCCUUAACCCAAGUAGUCUGUUCUACAGAGAGUAUAUAUACUAUCUAUAAUACACAGUUACAUACCUGGACUCCACCUUCAUGGUUGAUGCUUUAUAAAGAAACUGGGGCUGCAGUUGUAACUUAGUGGUAGAGCAGUUACCUGUCAUGCACAAGGCAUGGUUUGUCCUCAGUUGUGCAAAACAAAUACAAAAAAAGAAGCUUAUUUUGAUGGUCUGUGUUGAAUACUCAGGAAUAAGCUAUGUUGUCCAGAACAUGACUGCCAUAAAGGCCAUAUCUCUCUUUAUUUUUUAUGUAGUGUUGAGGAUUACAGGUGCCCUCUGUGUCAGUGUAUAUGGACUUCCUUCCCCUCUACCCAAGUCAAUGAGAAGCUGGCAAAUUAACAGUUAGUGUAUGACAGCUCUGGUUUUCCCAGUUUACUAUUCUCCAAACAUCUCUGUGAUCCUGUCUCAAUUCUACAAGGAAGUUGUCUUUCAAACACUUUGGAGCCAGUUGUAAUAUAUUUGAUUUCUGACUGCCUUUGGUAGAAUUCGUUUGCAUUGCUGAAACUCACUUGAACUAAUUUAGCUGCCUCAGCAAUUACCUUUAUUAGCCCUUUGGUGGAGAGAAGAUUGCCUUUGCAGUAUGGAAUCCAGUUUCUUCUGAUUUUUUUCACAUCAUUGUUCUCCAUUCCUCUAACUGUGAAAUAGAGUGUGGGCUGAAGCUUUCUUCUUCCACUGAAGUAUCUGCAUUUGCUUCAGGCUGCAUCUGAAUAGCUAUGACUUUACUUCCUGUUCUUCAGACACCCUCUGCUUAAAGCUCUUGCAAACCCAACUGAGGUUAUAUCAUAUUUAAAUUUUAUUUCUUCUGCUUGUUUUUGGUGUUUAACUUCCUUUUCAAAGCAUCUUUUUUAAAGUUUAUUAAAAAAUAUUUUUUAGUUGUAAAUGAACACAAUAUCUUUAUUUAUUUUUAUGUGGUGCUGAGUAUCGAACGCAGUGCCUCACAUGUGCAAGGCAAGUGCUCUACUGAGCCAUAGUCCCAGCUCUUUUUUAAAGUUUUUAAGGUACAGGACUGGGGCUGGGGCUCAGUGGUUGAGCUCUUGACUCACACGUGAGGCACUGGGUUUGAUCCUCAGCACCACAUAAAAAAUAAAUGAAUAAAUAAAGAUAUUAUGUCCAUCUGCAGCUAAAAAUAUUAAAACAAACAAAAGUUAAGGUAUAAUCCUAGGUUUUUAUUUAGAGAAUUUUCUCAUUUGUUAACAUCACUAUUUAUUGUAAAAAUUUUUUUUUUAAUUUUUUUUUUUAGUUGUAGAUGGACACAGUAUCUUUGUUUUAUUUAUUUAUUUUUGUAUCUGGUGCUGAGGAUCGAACCCAGUGCCUCACGCAUGUGAGGCGAGCACUCAGCCACUGAGCUACAGCCCCAGCCCUAUUGUAAAAUUUUUAAGCAGUGCUUCAGCUAUCACAAUUUUAUAUCUCAUCUUUUCAUUUUCAUUCAGUUCAAAAUAUUUUCUAAUUUCCUUCAAAAUUUGAUAUUUAUCCAUUACAUGUCUUAGUAAUGUAUUGUUUAAUUUCUAAUUGUUUGUAGACUUUCUGUGUGUCUUUCUGCUAUUGAUUUCCAAUUGAAUUACGUUAUGGCCAGAGAACAUACUUUCAAUUAGUUCAAUUCCUUUAGCUUUAGUAUUGUUUUAUUUGUGAUUCACAAGUUUGUUUAUUUUCUUGAAUGUUCCAUGUCUAUUUUAAAGCAGUUUGUAUUCUCUUGUUUUUUGGGGGAAAGUGUGGUAUAGAUGUCUUUUAGGUGAAUACGAUUGAUGAUUGGUGUUCAUGUCUUGUAUGGAAUGAUUUUUUUUUCAACUCAUUCUGUGAAUUACUGAAACUGUUAUAUCCAAGUAUAAUUGAAACUUUGUUUCUUUAGUUCUAUCAAUCUUUGUUUUAUUUAGAAUGGUUUUGUUGUCUUCUUGACAAUCUAAUCAUUUUUUCAUAUCCUCCUCCUUGCUAAUAUCCUCAUGUUGACAUUUGUUUUUCUGAUAUCAGUAUAGCCAUAACAGUUUUUAAUUGAUUAGUGUUUGCAUAUUUAUAAGUAAUAUAUAAAGAGGUUUCCUGUGGAAAUCACAUCAGUGGUUCUUGCUUUUUAUCCAUACUGUUAAUCUGAAAAAUAAGGACUGGAAAAUAAAGAGAGUGGUAAAUAUGUGGAUUGAUGUAUGUUAUUAUAGCAUGGCUUAAUAAGCACGCAUUGUGAUGGUUUCAAAAGCAUACCUUAUGACCCUCAGAUUUCACUGAGUGAAAC
RNAcentral lists this long non-coding RNA (3418 nucleotides) under Marmota monax (woodchuck). Lineage: Eukaryota; Metazoa; Chordata; Mammalia; Rodentia; Sciuridae. The record is from RNAcentral.